This is a non-coding RNA of Salmo salar (Atlantic salmon), 1250 nucleotides long. Lineage: Eukaryota; Metazoa; Chordata; Actinopteri; Salmoniformes; Salmonidae. The record is from RefSeq and is a predicted model, not a curated record.
UAUCCCACCUGCGCAGCAACACUGUCUGUCUGGGGGCUGUGCACACGUGAAGUGCUGCGCAAAGGCAUAAAAGUCUAUUUGAAGCGAAAAUCUACUGAAGUGAGACUUUGUCCUUAUGUUUUUUUUAUGUUUGAGUUUCAACUGCUACGGAAGAGAACAUGAAGCAGCUACUAGUCAGUCUCUCUCAAUCGCACAGCACCGUAAAUCCAGAGAACAACAGACUUUGAUGACAAAAUGUGCCCACGAAGGACCGCCGCGCCACCUUCCUGUUCAAGUGAGCACAGCACAACAAGUUACCUCUCUUGCUCCUGUUCCACAUCUCACCACCUUCCUCUGGAUAUCACUCACCACCAUUACCUUGGAUUCCCCUCAGGACCUGUUCCCCUGUUCUACUCAGCCAACUUGAACCUCACUCUACACUCCUGGUUUUUGCAACUCGUCUGAGCUACACCGGUUCUGCACUCCCCAUUUCUGUGUUCAAAAAAAAUAAUUGCAUUCAUCCCGGCUUCCUCUUCUGAGUCCGCUCUUGGGUUCCCCCCUUCGCUCAUCGUAACACCCUUUAUGCCAUAGCUUGUACAUCUCAAUUGUCAGUAGAAACCACAUUUGAUUAAGCAAGUCAGCCAUAUCAGCUAUGUUUUUUUUAUUUUUUAAAGGCAACAAAUGAAGCUGAAUGAAUUGUUUCGCUGCCAGGCAAGGCUCUGUUGAUACCAAGGUGUAGCAGUGGUAAGGUGUUGGGACUGCUGUUGGGACUCUGCUGUUGGGACAGCUUUAUGUAGGCCCUAACAGUUUGUGGACACUGUUUAUAACCAUUAUAGUGCAAUUAAUGUAUUGUUUAGAGUUAUGUUGUAUAGUGGUUUUGCUUGCAUGCAUACCACCACUUUUUUUUUUUUUUGCCCCACCAAGAUUGUGAUGCUAAAAUCUCCACUGCAUUUAGCUAACAUUACAUAGUUCAUCCAGCGAUUCUUACCUUUGCCUCAAUUCGGCAGUCUCGUCCAGAUCAUGGCAUUUGUAGUUAUUUAUGAUAGCCACAUUAUCAGCUAAUUAACAUUUAAUUUGCUGGGGGGUAAAUACAGGUUAAAUAUAAUAAUUUACUUUUGUUUUAUCAUCUUGUGGUACAAACAUAAUGAACAUCAACAUGGGAAACAUGAUAUGCAGUUUAAGCUAAUAAACGGUGGGCAAAUUAUGUUAAUUGUGUUGAAAUGUUCAUAGAAAGGGCCUGAGCUCAAAUGCAAUAUUCAAACCACUAGAGG